UGGGGAAUAUUGGACAAUGGACCGAGAGUCUGAUCCAGCAAUUCUGUGUGCACGAUGAAGUUUUUCGGAAUGUAAAGUGCUUUCAGUUGGGAAGAAAGAAAUGACGGUACCAACAGAAGAAGUGACGGCUAAAUACGUGCCAGCAGCCGCGGUAAUACGUAUGUCAUGAGCGUUAUCCGGAUUUAUUGGGCGUAAAGCGCGUCUAGGUGGUUAUGUAAGUCUGAUGUGAAAAUGCAGGGCUCAACUCUGUAUUGCGUUGGAAACUGUAUAACUAGAGUACUGGAGAGGUAAGCGGAACUACAAGUGUAGAGGUGAAAUUCGUAGAUAUUUGUAGGAAUGCCGAUGGGGAAGCCAGCUUACUGGACAGAUACUGACGCUAAAGCGCGAAAGCGUGGGUAGCAAACAGG
RNAcentral lists this ribosomal RNA (407 nucleotides) under bacterium. RNAcentral's name for it is "partial 16S ribosomal RNA". It matches the Rfam family "Bacterial small subunit ribosomal RNA", at positions 355 to 776 of the family's 1533-position model. The record is from RNAcentral.